RNAcentral lists this transfer RNA (66 nucleotides) under Bradypus tridactylus (Pale-throated sloth). Its description in RNAcentral is "tRNA-Tyr". It matches the Rfam family "tRNA". From Rfam's summary of the family: Transfer RNA (tRNA) molecules are approximately 80 nucleotides in length. Their secondary structure includes four short double-helical elements and three loops (D, anti-codon, and T loops). The record is from RNAcentral. Lineage: Eukaryota; Metazoa; Chordata; Mammalia; Pilosa; Bradypodidae.
GGUAAAACGGCUGAGGAAGCAUUAGACUGUAAAUCUAAGGACAGGGGUAAGGCCCCGUUUUUGCCA